This is a long non-coding RNA of Sipha flava (yellow sugarcane aphid), 947 nucleotides long. RefSeq lists it as uncharacterized. NCBI's taxonomy places the organism in Eukaryota, Metazoa, Arthropoda, Insecta, Hemiptera, Aphididae. The transcript has 4 exons. The record is from RefSeq and is a predicted model, not a curated record.
CAAACUUGAUACCUGCACUAUUAUAUUACAAAUAUCCCUGGCUACCAUCCCUGCUAUCUUCACGGAUAACGCUUAAAAAUCUCGUUGUCAAGUAACGGACUACUAUAAUUUUUGAUUUGCACUUAAAAUUUUAUUGUUUUAUAAUAAUUAGGUCUUUAACGUUAUUUUUUUUAUAUUAUUUUACAACAUGAUGUUCAAAAGCCAUAUUUUAAAAUAACUUAAAAAUGUGGACACAAAAAUAUGCUCUUCAGAAGUUAGUAAAAUAUUUUCUCAUGAAAAUGAGAAAAGUAGAACAAUGAACUCAGUGUAUAAUACAUUGAGUAAUAAUUCAAAUGUCAUUGAUGAAAAUAUAAAAUAUUAUAAUGAACUGCAGAAUGUUAGAGUUGAACAUGUUUCUUAAGGAAUUAUUGAGGGACCUGAUCAAAAUGUGAAAAGUAUAAUAGUGAACGCAUAUCAUCAGGUAAUAGACCUGAUAUUAUUAUUACAUAAUGUACAUUAUGUUAUGAAUCAAAUGUCAUUGAUAAAAAUAAAGAAUAUUAUUAUGAACUGCAAAGUAUUAAUGUUGAACAAGCUUUGCAUGACAAAAUUGUACAACAGUGAAUGCAGUGAAUAAGAGAUUAUAUUAUGAACCAAAUGUCAUUGAUGAAAAUAAAGAAUAUUAUAAAUUGCAGAAUGUUUAACAAACUGCUUCUGUUAAAAAUGCUAGUGUAGCAUUUAAUGAAUCUACUAGCGAACAGUAGCAGAAUUUCAUCAACCAAAAUUAGUAAUUUAGAUCUUCACUGCUUAUAUUCAAAACCAAUGCCAAUAAGCCAUGGAAAGAAAAAGAACCUUCUUUAACUAUGUGAAAAGAAUGUUAUGCCAGAAAAGUUUUACAUUUUCUUUAAAAGUUUGCCAAGUAUUCCGCUUAAAAAAGAUAAAGCUUCAGUACCAGGAGUAUUUGAUUCAGA